AUUGAACGCUGGCGACAGGCUUAACACAUGCAAGUCGAGCGAGCGGCGGACGGGUGAGUAAUGUCUGGGAAACUGCCUGAUGGAGGGGGAUAACUACUGGAAACGGUAGCUAAUACCGCAUACCAUCAGAUGUGCCCAGAUGGGAUUAGCUAGUAGGUGGGGUAAUGGCUCACCUAGGCGACGAUCCCUAGCUGGUCUGAGAGGAUGACAGCCAACAUUGGAACGGAGACAGGGUCCAGAUUCCUAGGGGAGGAAGCAGGGGGAAAUGUUGGACAAUGGGCGAAGGCCGGAUGCGGAAAUGCGGGGUGGGGAAGGCAGGCCUGCGGGUGGUAAGGCACGUUAAGCGGGGAGGCGUUACUCGAAUAGGAAGCAACGGCUAACUCCGUGCCAGCAGCCGCGGUAAUAC
This 406-nucleotide ribosomal RNA is filed under the name uncultured bacterium. Its description in RNAcentral is "partial 16S ribosomal RNA". It matches the Rfam family "Bacterial small subunit ribosomal RNA", at positions 29 to 526 of the family's 1533-position model. The record is from RNAcentral.